UCCGGGAAACCGGGGCUAAUACCGGAUGGUUGUUUGAACCGCAUGGUUCAAACAUAAAAGGUGGCUUCGGCUACCACUUACAGAUGGACCCGCGGCGCAUUAGCUAGUUGGUGAGGUAACGGCUCACCAAGGCAACGAUGCGUAGCCGACCUGAGAGGGUGAUCGGCCACACUGGGACUGAGACACGGCCCAGACUCCUACGGGAGGCAGCAGUAGGGAAUCUUCCGCAAUGGACGAAAGUCUGACGGAGCAACGCCGCGUGAGUGAUGAAGGUUUUCGGAUCGUAAAGCUCUGUUGUUAGGGAAGAACAAGUACCGUUCGAAUAGGGCGGUACCUUGACGGUACCUAACCAGAAAGCCACGGCUAACUACGUGCCAGCAGCCGCGGUAAUACGUAGGUGGCAAGCGUUGUCCGGAAUUAUUGGGCGUAAAGGGCUCGCAGGCGGUUUCUUAAGUCUGAUGUGAAAGCCCCCGGCUCAACCGGGGGAGGGUCAUUGGAAACUGGGGAACUUGAGUGCAGAAGAGGAGAGUGGAAUUCCACGUGUAGCGGUGAAAUGCGUAGAGAUGUGGAGGAACACCAGUGGCGAAGGCGACUCUCUGGUCUGUAACUGACGCUGAGGAGCGAAAGCGUGGGGAGCGAACAGGAUUAGAUACCCUGGUAGUCCACGCCGUAAACGAUGAGUGCUAAGUGUUAGGGGGUUUCCGCCCCUUAGUGCUGCAGCUAACGCAUUAAGCACUCCGCCUGGGGAGUACGGUCGCAAGACUGAAACUCAAAGGAAUUGACGGGGGCCCGCACAAGCGGUGGAGCAUGUGGUUUAAUUCGAAGCAACGCGAAGAACCUUACCAGGUCUUGACAUCCUCUGACAAUCCUAGAGAUAGGACGUCCCCUUCGGGGGCAGAGUGACAGGUGGUGCAUGGUUGUCGUCAGCUCGUGUCGUGAGAUGUUGGGUUAAGUCCCGCAACGAGCGCAACCCUUGAUCUUAGUUGCCAGCAUUCAGUUGGGCACUCUAAGGUGACUGCCGGUGACAAACCGGAGGAAGGUGGGGGAUGACGUCAAAUCAUCAUGCCCCUUAUGACCUGGGCUACACACGUGCUACAAUGGACAGAACAAAGGGCAGCGAAACCCGCGAGGUUAAGCCAAUCCCACAAAUCUGUUCUCAGUUCGGAUCGCAGUCUGCAACUCGACUGCGUGAAGCUGGAAUCGCUAGUAAUCGCGGAUCAGCAUGCCGCGGUGAAUACGUU
Molecule: ribosomal RNA, 1241 nt
Filed under: Bacillus subtilis
Lineage: Bacteria; Bacillati; Bacillota; Bacilli; Caryophanales; Bacillaceae
Description: bacterial SSU rRNA
Rfam family: Bacterial small subunit ribosomal RNA
Source: RNAcentral